CCGCCGCUCCGGCCUCCGCCGCUCACUGGAGAGCCGCCGCGCGCCGCCGCCACCGCCGCGGGGGAACGAAUGCGCCGCGCGCCGCAGACUGCCCGCCGCCCCGCAUGCUCCGGUCCCGCUCCGACCUGGCGCCCCGGGAUUCGCCGGCCCCGCGCGCCGCUUCCGGGCCCUGCCGCCUGCCGGAAGUGGACACGCCGCGCGGCUCCCUGGGAAGCGGAGUCUCGGCCGCCGCCCCGCACGCGCGUCCGGGAUGCGGCGCGUGUUUGACGUCACCAGCCCGCGCCGCCCUCCGGGCGUGCCUCCCAGGGGCCCAGGAGCUCCGCUGUUGGGGCCGCAGAGGGUGUUCGCGGGGCGCCGGGGAAGGGUAGGGCUGCGGGGUCCCCGGGGCGCCGCCCCCAACCGACCACGCCUGCCAGACCACCGAGUGGGGGCCGUGUCGACGUGUGGGGAGCCUGGUGGAAGGCGGUACGGGAAUUCCGGCACUGGGCCUGCAACCCUUUUAGUCCACAGCUGUCAAAAUCUGGAGGGAAGAAAAACGAAGUGCUCAGAAGCUGAGCACCUCAUCCCGUGUGUGGAUGUUUUCCCCAGUACAAGCCCAUUGUGGGGACAGGCGCUUUUGAAGGAAGAAUUCAAAUUCCCAGGCUGAAGUGGCUCCUCACAGCCUUGAACCUGACCCCCAGCUUCCCGCUAAAGCCAGGCGUGCCCAGCACGGCGAGGUCAGCAGCGGCCCUUCGGAGGGCGGCCGUUGGAGGCCAGUGGAAGGCCCUCGGGCAGCCGGUGGAUGGUCCGGCGACCUCCCCGACUCCGUGAGAAGCGCUCAGUCCGUGCCCUUCAGCUACUGGAGCGGCUCCCGCCCUUUGGCCAGUUCUCUGGAAGGUCGUUUCGUUUUCUGUGUCUGCCACACGCGUACCACAAGCGCAUCACAAUGGAAAAUCUUGUUCCACAUUUCUGGAAAGAGUGGAUGCUGCUGAAGACCCAACAGAUUGCUGACGGUUUUCGGAGCAGGGACAAUUGCAUCAGAGUGCUGGGCUCCGGGAAAAACUCAGGAUUUGACUGACUGGCGGAUGGGACAAUGAUUGGUGCCAAGACUAGGCCAGAGAAGGAGGCCUGUCCAGAGCAGGCACCCGAGGCCGAGUGCAGGGGCAGUCCUGGGCCGCCAACCCUUGGAAGCUGGGCUAGGAGCUUCGGAGCCAUCCGAGUCUUUUUUCGCCCCUCUCACUCUCAUGCACCUAGUUACCCUCCCGACAGAGUCCUCUCACUGCGCGAUUUUCGUCUACCGCGGCAGUGGUGUCUGACUACACCCAGUGCCUCUAUCCUUCCUUCCCCUUUCAGUCUGUUCUCGCUUCUUGGCAAACCUGUCCUUGGAAAGCCCUCUGCCGACUCCAGUUACCCUGAUCAAAUGCAUCCUCCUCAACAGGCUUGUGAACGGUUUGCAGGGUGGCCCAAGAGGCAUCACGCCUUGCUCUUCAGCCACUCUUGGGGGCCCCUACAGGGCCAGGCAUCCCACACCGGCAGCGGGUGCUGGUCCUGCCACAGUCUGUGCAACAUGUGAAUGAAGGCUGUAGUCCUGUGGUCUGCGGGAGGCAAAUUCCAACUCCAGCUGUCAAACAUAAAGGGACUGGCAGGCUAUCCAGGGUGGAUGUCUCAUGGCAUCCAAAGGCAGGGACCUAGCCAGGCCUCGGGAAAGAGCUACAAACUGAGGAGCUCUGGGGUGUGGCUUCAUCUCCCUCUCCCUCCCACCCUACCCCCAUCUCUGUGUUCCUCAGAUGUCUCAUUUUCCUGUCAGGUACCUGGCCAGCUCUAGGAGCUGGAAUCAGGUUGGUACCUUCUUGGUCAGUGUCCAUCCCUAGUGUCAUCCACAGUGGCCAACGGAAGGGGUGGCUGGUGGUGCAGGACAUUUGCCAUCUUGGGAAAGAUCACAGAGGAAGGGCCUCUUUAGCUGAGCAGACGAGGUUCUGCAGUGGUCUGGACACUUUUGCACACUGGUGGGCAUCCCCCUGCCCUGUUGAGCAGACGGAGUUCUGCAGUGGUCUGGACAUAUUUGCACACUCAUGGGCAUCCCCCUGCCCUGUUGAGAAACCACAUGAGGAAAGGGACCCUUGCAUCUGUCGCCUCCCGACUCUGACCGCCAGAGGCUGGGCUGCCAGCCAGCCAUGCCAGCAUGUGACGGCACUUGACGCAAAGUCCCUGGAAAGGAUGUGGAUCAUUGCAGAACUCCCUCGAGAAAGCUCCAGAGGAGGACCCCAUUCAGUACCCCGCAGAAUUCCUCAAACUCCUGCGUCCCCCUCAACACUCCCCCAGUGUGGUGCCUGCUUCUAUCUCCCCAGGCUUAGCUGGCCUGGGUCUUGAAGGCCUCUCCUCCCGCUGUCCCCACACAGCACCCUCUCGGCCACUGCACAGCUGGAUGCAGUGAAGGCCAGGCGGCUGUGGCUGCUUGGGCAACAGGAGCUGCUUGACCCUGUUCUGCUGACUUUGUUGGCCUCACUCCCGUGGAGAGCCAAGGUUACCAUGUCCCUGAAGCUAAGGCUUUCUUUCUAGGCCUGGGGGAGUCACAUCUUGCAUUUGUACUCACUGAGCUCCACGUCUAUGGUUAGAGAAUUAUUCAACGUUUUAAAAUGUUUUUAUCAAUUCCAUCAUUUGAGGGCCCUCUAGCAAGGAACCUGUUAGUAAAUGGAGUGUCUGGAAUGUUCUAGAAAGCUCACAUGAAGAGCUGGCCCUUGCUGUCCUUAUUCAUUGAGGACUCCAAUGGCCACUCAGGAUGACAAGAAAUGCAGGCUCCAAGAGAUUUGGUUCCUUUGUGAGGCCCUCGGGCAGUGGCCAGACACGAAGGAAAUAGGAAUGGCACCUGCAAACCGCACUUCUCCCUACAGGCCAUAGCUGCUGUGCAGCCUUGGGAGGCGGGUGGAGGGAAAGAGGAGGGUAUCUGAAUGUGGAUAAUCCCUGCUGUGAGGGCUGCGGGGUGUCCUCAGACUGGAGCCCGCCCCCAGGCUCAGCUCAGCUCGGGGACCUCGCACCCAGGCUUUUCUGGGAAGGAAGGUUUUGGAUCUCCUGCCUCUCUGUAUUCAUUGACGCUGGGUUUCUCUCUCUUCGGAGCAUUCUAACA
Piliocolobus tephrosceles (Ugandan red Colobus) is the source of this 3103-nucleotide RNA transcript. RefSeq lists it as uncharacterized. Lineage: Eukaryota; Metazoa; Chordata; Mammalia; Primates; Cercopithecidae. The transcript has a single exon. The record is from RefSeq and is a predicted model, not a curated record.